UAUAAUUUGAAAAUUGAAUAC
This 21-nucleotide non-coding RNA is filed under the name Caenorhabditis elegans. The record is from RNAcentral. Lineage: Eukaryota; Metazoa; Nematoda; Chromadorea; Rhabditida; Rhabditidae.